GACGAACGCUGGCGGCGUGCUUAACACAUGCAAGUCGAACGGAAAGGCCCUGCUUUUGUGGGGUGCUCGAGUGGCGAACGGGUGAGUAACACGUGAGUAACCUGCCCUUGACUUUGGGAUAACUUCAGGAAACUGGGGCUAAUACCGGAUAGGAGCUCCUGCUGCAUGGUGGGGGUUGGAAAGUUUCGGCGGUUGGGGAUGGACUCGCGGCUUAUCAGCAUGUUGGUGGGGUAGUGGCUUACCAAGGCUUUGACGGGUAGCCGGCCUGUGAGGGUGACCGGCCAAAUUGGGACUGAGAUACGGCCCAGACUCCUACGGGAGGCAGCAGUGGGGAAUAUUGCACAAUGGGCGGAAGCCUGAUGCAGCAACGCCGCGUGCGGGAUGACGGCCUUCGGGUUGUAAACCGAUUUCGCCUGUGACGAAGCGUGAGUGACGGUAAUGGGUAAAGAAGCACCGGCUAACUACGUG
Molecule: ribosomal RNA, 468 nt
Filed under: uncultured bacterium
Lineage: Bacteria
Description: partial 16S ribosomal RNA
Rfam family: Bacterial small subunit ribosomal RNA
Source: RNAcentral